GAGGGUAGAGCUCAGGGGUAGAGUGCUGUGCUUAGCGUACAAGAGGUCCUGGGUUCAAUCCCCAGUACCUCCA
Molecule: transfer RNA, 73 nt
Filed under: Camelus bactrianus (Bactrian camel)
Lineage: Eukaryota; Metazoa; Chordata; Mammalia; Artiodactyla; Camelidae
Also listed under: 2 other names
Rfam family: tRNA
About the family: Transfer RNA (tRNA) molecules are approximately 80 nucleotides in length. Their secondary structure includes four short double-helical elements and three loops (D, anti-codon, and T loops).
Source: Rfam by way of RNAcentral